Molecule: ribosomal RNA, 429 nt
Filed under: Bacillota bacterium
Lineage: Bacteria; Bacillati; Bacillota
Description: Firmicutes bacterium partial 16S ribosomal RNA
Rfam family: Bacterial small subunit ribosomal RNA
Source: RNAcentral
UAGGGAAUCUUCGGCAAUGGACGGAAGUCUGACCGAGCAACGCCGCGUGAGUGAAGAAGGUUUUCGGAUCGUAAAGCUCUGUUGUUAGAGAAGAACGUUGGUAGGAGUGGAAAAUCUACCAAGUGACGUUAACUAACCCGAAAGGGACGGCUAACUACGUGCCAGCAGCCGCGGUAAUACGUAGGUCCCGAGCGUUGUCCGGAGUUAUUGGGCGUAAAGCGAGCGCAGGCGGUUCUUUAAGUCUGAAGUUAAAGGCAGUGGUUUAACCAUUUUACGAUUUGGAAGCUGGCGGACUUGAGUGCAGAAGGGGAGAGUGGAAUUCCAUGUGUAGCUGUGAAAUGCGUAGAUAUAUGGAGGAACACCGGUGGCGAAAGCGGCUCUCUGGUCUGUUACUGACGCUGUGGCUCGAAAGCGUGGGGAGCAAACAGG